UACGGAGGGUGCUAGCGUUGUUCGGAAUUACUGGGCGUAAAGCGCACGUAGGCGGAUUGGAAAGUCAGGGGUGAAAUCCCGGGGCUCAACCCCGGAACUGCCUUUGAAACUCCCAGUCUUGAGGUCGAGAGAGGUGAGUGGAAUUCCGAGUGUAGAGGUGAAAUUCGUAGAUAUUCGGAGGAACACCAGUGGCGAAGGCGGCUCACUGGCUCGAUACUGACGCUGAGGUGCGAAAGCGUGGGGAGCAAACAGG
Molecule: ribosomal RNA, 253 nt
Filed under: uncultured bacterium
Lineage: Bacteria
Description: partial 16S ribosomal RNA
Rfam family: Bacterial small subunit ribosomal RNA
Source: RNAcentral